AUAAUAAAUAUAUAUUUUGAUUUUUUGAAUAAUACUGUAAACUUAUAAAAAUACAAAGUGGCGAUCCAAAGCCUACACAACACCAAGUCAAAGAAAGAAGAAUGGUAGUUCCGAGUCUAAUAUGAUAGGAGAUGCACAUGCCAUUUAUUUGUAAGAUAUAAGGCAACUUUCAAAUUAAUUAGAGAAUGUAUUGCAACUAGUGAGAAAAGAACUUAGCACAAUUUGAAGGGUCUAGUAAGAGAACAAAGGUUCAAGCUUCUAGAGCAUCCUCAUACUCUUCUAAUCUAGACACAUCUGUCAAGUUACAAGCCAAUAUUACCUACCAUGGUUUGUCCAUGGGGACAAAAGCAGCAAAGAGGAAGGCAAUAAUAGAAAAUUGGUUACUCAACACCAAGAAGCAACAAGAAAGGAUGUGGAGCGUGCGAUAGGGAGUGUUUCAAUCUCGGUUAGUGAUUGUGAGUGAUCCUGUGCAUGCUUGGUAGAUGUAUACAACCAAACAUAUGUUAUACUACAUAACAUGAUUAUGGAAGGUGAAUGACACACAU
This 545-nucleotide long non-coding RNA is filed under the name Glycine max (soybean). Its description in RNAcentral is "long non-coding RNA (GMAX_LNC001313)". The record is from RNAcentral. Lineage: Eukaryota; Viridiplantae; Streptophyta; Magnoliopsida; Fabales; Fabaceae.